AGAGUUUGAUCCUGGCUCAGAACGAACGCUGGCGGCAGGCUUAACACAUGCAAGUCGAACGCUCGUAGCAAUACGGGAGUGGCAGACGGGUGAGUAACGCGUGGGAACAUACCCUCCGGUUCGGAAUAGCUCAGGGAAACUUGGAUUAAUACCGGAUACGGCUGAGAGGCGAAAGAUUUAUCGCCGGAGGAUUGGCCCGCGUUCGAUUAGCUUGUUGGUGAGGUAACGGCUCACCAAGGCGAUGAUCGAUAGCUGGUCUGAGAGGAUGAUCAGCCACAUUGGGACUGAGACACGGCCCAAACUCCUACGGGAGGCAGCAGUGGGGAAUAUUGGACAAUGGGCGCAAGCCUGAUCCAGCCAUGCCGCGUGAGUGAUGACGGCCUUAGGGUUGUAAAGCUCUUUCGCUCGGGACGGUAAUGACGGUACCGAGAUAAGAAGCCCC
This 442-nucleotide ribosomal RNA is filed under the name uncultured bacterium. RNAcentral describes it as "bacterial SSU rRNA". It matches the Rfam family "Bacterial small subunit ribosomal RNA", at positions 8 to 494 of the family's 1533-position model. The record is from RNAcentral.